This is a regulatory RNA element of Streptomyces sp. NRRL WC-3605, 63 nucleotides long. It matches the Rfam family "Actino-pnp RNA". Lineage: Bacteria; Bacillati; Actinomycetota; Actinomycetes; Kitasatosporales; Streptomycetaceae. The record is from Rfam.
GCCGGUCCUCGGUAGUGGCCCCCGGGGGGAAGCGAUCCCCGGGUGCUUCGAUCGAAGACCGGC